AUGGAUGGCCUUAGACGCCCCUCAAUCAUUGGGAAAGCAAAGAGCUAUGUAUCUUCUCCCUUAGGAGCUCUGCGAGAGAAGAUGCCUCCAUCUGGAUACCGAUCCCUACACACAAGUCGCCCCCUGUCAGCUCCUGUCGCAAACCGCCCAUUGUCUCAUCAUCUUCCUCCGAAGAAGCCACAGUUGAGCACUACGUUCUCGAUCUCGCACCGUAUAUUUGGCAUUGCGCUGGGUUCUGCCAUCAUAUCUGUUCCUCUUGCUACCAAGUUCAGCCUCAUGUUUGGUGUCUGA
Molecule: ribosomal RNA, 291 nt
Filed under: Triticum aestivum (bread wheat)
Lineage: Eukaryota; Viridiplantae; Streptophyta; Magnoliopsida; Poales; Poaceae
Description: partial small subunit ribosomal RNA
Source: RNAcentral